CAACAUAGAACAUAAUUUAUAAGUUCAGAUUUAUAAAAAUCAAACAUAGAAAUAGAAUUACAAUUUAACAUAGAACAUAUAAAUAACCAAAAUAAUUUUAUGCAUAUUAUCAACCAAAACAUAAUUAUAAAUGUCACGCCCCCGAUCCGAGAUUGUGAAUCGAGGGUCAUGGCAACCACCGCAUACUCAUAGAAAACUCUUCCUAUAAGCAUGCAAGGCAUCUUAUCAUGC
Molecule: long non-coding RNA, 231 nt
Filed under: Elaeis guineensis (African oil palm)
Lineage: Eukaryota; Viridiplantae; Streptophyta; Magnoliopsida; Arecales; Arecaceae
Description: long non-coding RNA (EGUI_LNC022274)
Source: RNAcentral